AACGAACGCUGGCGGCAGGCCUAACACAUGCAAGUCGAGCGAGGACUUCGGUUCUAGCGGCGGACGGGUGAGUAACGCGUGGGAAUGUGCCCUUCUCUACGGAAUAGCCCUGGGAAACUGGGAGUAAUACCGUAUACGCCCUAUUGGGGAAAGAUUUAUCGGAGAAGGAUCAGCCCGCGUUGGAUUAGGUAGUUGGUGGGGUAAUGGCCUACCAAGCCGACGAUCCAUAGCUGGUUUGAGAGGAUGAUCAGCCACACUGGGACUGAGACACGGCCCAGACUCCUACGGGAGGCAGCAUUGGGGAAUCUUAGACAAUGGGGGCAACCCUGAUCUAGCCAUGCCGCGUGAGUGAUGAAGGCCUUAGGGUUGUAAAGCUCUUUCAGCUGGGAAGAUAAUGACGGUACCAGCAGAAGAAGCCCCGGCUAACUCCGUG
RNAcentral lists this ribosomal RNA (433 nucleotides) under uncultured bacterium. Its description in RNAcentral is "partial 16S ribosomal RNA". It matches the Rfam family "Bacterial small subunit ribosomal RNA", at positions 29 to 507 of the family's 1533-position model. The record is from RNAcentral.